Long non-coding RNA from Myotis davidii, 449 nucleotides. RefSeq lists it as uncharacterized. NCBI's taxonomy places the organism in Eukaryota, Metazoa, Chordata, Mammalia, Chiroptera, Vespertilionidae. The record is from RefSeq and is a predicted model, not a curated record. The transcript has 2 exons.
GUCAUGGGCCCCUGGGAUCAGAAACACUGACCUGGUCCCUGAGCCCCCUCCUCAUCUGUGCCCAGCCUCAACAUCGGCACUAACGCAGCACUCAUCCCUGCCCGCAUGCAUCAUGCUUUGCCAUCAUCUUUAACCUGGUCCAGCGCACUCCCUGGAGAGGGACCCUGUGGGAACCCUAGUCAAGAGUACGCCGGAUGAUCAAGGCCAGUUUGCCACAUGCGUGCAUGCAGGCGAGGAUGUAACCUGUUCAUGUUCAUGUAGCAUCUGUGUCACUCAUUGGCACGAGGCCUCUUCUGUGUGAGCGUGUAUAUAAGGCCACUGACCAGCCAGGGGGGCUGGGCCGCUUUGUGGGGCUGCCUUUGGGGGCUACUUUGAAGAACUACUUUGAUGGCUCCUAUAGUAGCAAUGGCUACUUGGCCUACAGUAAAGUCUCUCCCAUAUGCCUGCGA